Molecule: non-coding RNA, 100 nt
Organism: Paenibacillus sp. DMB20
Lineage: Bacteria; Bacillati; Bacillota; Bacilli; Caryophanales; Paenibacillaceae
Source: Rfam
GGACAGAACUCUGGAGAGACUCCGCUGAAACGGGGCACCGAAGGGGCAAGACGUGUCACCACACGUUAAAACUCUCAGGUAAAAGGACAGGGAUUGCAGA